UCCAGAGAAACCCUGUGUGGGAACAGGAGACCAAUGAAAGUAGACACAUUCUAUCCAGUGAGGUGAAGCCAAAGAGCAUCUAUUGUUUGGCAUGAUUUAACCUAAAGAUAAAAGCAUCAGAGCCUUGCUCAGGGGAAGCCUGUCACUUUAUUGACGCCCCAUGUUUAUCUUACUACCUGAUGCUGGUAAAUCUUCUAAAAUAGAAAAAGAACUUUCAGGGUUGUCUUUAAGGACUGUGAAGAAAGGAGGAAACUGGGGAGACAAUUUUCUCUGAACCCAGAGGUGUUCUACCACCGAGCUAGAUUCCCAGUCCCCGCCCCUGUUUUGUUGUUAUUUGUUUGUUUUUGUUUUCUCCUUUUGUUUUAUUUAUUUUUAAAUUUUGAGACAGGGUCUAAGUUGCCCAGGCUGGCCUGGCACUUGCCAUGCUCCUGCUGGGAUUACAGGCAUGCACCACCAUGACCAACUGGGACUUCUGAGGAUCAAAGUUAACUGCCAGGGAUGAAGAGUGGUGAAGAAAUGGAGACAGCAGGGGAGCCCAGGAGUGGGAAGAAGGAAGCUGGGGCUCUCUGGGAAGAGAGCAGGGGUGAGAUGGAAGCGCUACUCCACGGUGACCAAUAAAGAUGGCCACUCUGAGCCAAAAACAGCUCCUGCUCUUGACCCACUGAGCUCUUUCACAAACCAGCCCGACAGAAGAACUGAUUUACAAAUGUUUACAGACAGUUUUAUUUACUAAUCUAGUUCUCAUUUACUCUCAGUUAAAUUUAUAGUCCUAAUUAUAGUCAUCAGCACUUUCUUGAUAAUAAAU
RNAcentral lists this long non-coding RNA (805 nucleotides) under Marmota monax (woodchuck). The record is from RNAcentral. Lineage: Eukaryota; Metazoa; Chordata; Mammalia; Rodentia; Sciuridae.